UCUGCGAUUUCCGAAUGGGGAAACCCAACUGCAUAAGCAGUUACUGUUAACUGAAUACAUAGGUUAACAGAGCAAACCGGGGGAACUGAAACAUCUAAGUACCCCGAGGAGAAGAAAUCAACCGAGAUUCCGGUAGUAGCGGCGAGCGAACCUGGAUUAGCCCUUAAGCACUCGGUGAAGUAGGUGAACAAGCUGGAAAGCUUGGCGAUACAGGGUGAUAGCCCCGUAACCGACGCUUCAUCGAGCGUGAAAUCGAGUAGGGCGGGACACGUGAUAUCCUGUCUGAAUAUGGGGGGACCAUCCUCCAAGGCUAAAUACUCCUGACUGACCGAUAGUGAACCAGUACCGUGAGGGAAAGGCGAAAAGAACCCCUGUGAGGGGAGUGAAAUAGAACCUGAAACCGUGUACGUACAAGCAGUAGGAGCACCUUCGUGGUGUGACUGCGUACCUUUUGUAUAAUGGGUCAGCGACUUAUAUUCAGUGGCAAGGUUAACCGUAUAGGGGAGCCGUAGCGAAAGCGAGUCUUAACUGGGCGCUCAGUCUCUGGAUAUAGACCCGAAACCG
RNAcentral lists this ribosomal RNA (564 nucleotides) under Vibrio cholerae. RNAcentral describes it as "partial 23S ribosomal RNA". It matches the Rfam family "Bacterial large subunit ribosomal RNA", at positions 104 to 723 of the family's 2925-position model. Lineage: Bacteria; Pseudomonadati; Pseudomonadota; Gammaproteobacteria; Vibrionales; Vibrionaceae. The record is from RNAcentral.